Molecule: long non-coding RNA, 331 nt
Organism: Alexandromys fortis (reed vole)
Lineage: Eukaryota; Metazoa; Chordata; Mammalia; Rodentia; Cricetidae
Exons: 3
Source: RefSeq, a predicted model, not a curated record
AAGAAGCCGAGUCGCCAUGAUUCUCCCACUCCAGACAGAUGCAGGUUAAGAUCUUCCCUGUGCUCUGUCUGAGGAACUGCUGGAUGAAGACCAAACCAGUACCUCAGGCAAGGUCCAGCCCGCAGUCCCACACCAACAAAGCCAAGAGUAAGGUUGAUACCUUCCCCACGUCUGGUCUAUCCCACCUCUAUGGUUUGUUCAUCAGGAGAAACCCAAAUGCACUUCUUCCUCUUGUCAUUCCACAAGUGAAUUACACGGGGCCAACUCCUGAUUGUGGCUGCUAGCUUUCACGCCUCACUGCAUCCACAAUUAGACAGUCACAGGAAGGAGA